Molecule: ribosomal RNA, 1341 nt
Filed under: uncultured bacterium
Lineage: Bacteria
Description: bacterial SSU rRNA
Rfam family: Bacterial small subunit ribosomal RNA
Source: RNAcentral
AUUGAACGCUGGCGGCAGGCCUAACACAUGCAAGUCGAACGGUAACAGAAAGCAGCUUGCUGCUUUGCUGACGAGUGGCGGACGGGUGAGUAAUGUCUGGGAAACUGCCUGAUGGAGGGGGAUAACUACUGGAAACGGUAACUAAUACCGCAUAACGUCGCAAGACCAAAGAGGGGGACCUUCGGGCCUCUUGCCAUCGGAUGUGCCCAGAUGGGAUUAGCUAGUAGGUGGGGUAACGGCUCACCUAGGCGACGAUCCCUAGCUGGUCUGAGAGGAUGACCAGCCACACUGGAACUGAGACACGGUCCAGACUCCUACGGGAGGCAGCAGUGGGGAAUAUUGCACAAUGGGCGCAAGCCUGAUGCAGCCAUGCCGCGUGUAUGAAGAAGGCCUUCGGGUUGUAAAGUACUUUCAGCGGGGAGGAAGGGAGUAAAGUUAAUACCUUUGCUCAUUGACGUUACCCGCAGAAGAAGCACCGGCUAACUCCGUGCCAGCAGCCGCGGUAAUACGGAGGGUGCAAGCGUUAUAUCGGAAUUACUGGGCGUAAAGCGCACGCAGGCGGGUGGCAAGUCAGAUGUGAAAUCCCCGGGCUCAACCUGGGAACUGCAUCUGAUACUGGCAAGCUUGAGUCUCGUAGAGGGGGGUGGAAUUCCAGGUGUAGCGGUGAAAUGCGUAGAGAUCUGGAGGAACACCGGUGGCGAAGGCGGCCCCCUGGACGAAGACUGACGCUCAGGUGCGAAAGCGUGGGAGGCAGACAGGAUUAGAUACCCCGGUAGUUUCACGCCGUAAACGAUGUCGACUUGGAGGUUGUGCCCCUGAGGCGAGGCUUCCGGAGCUAACGCGUUAAGUCGACCGCCUGGGGAGUACGGCCGCAAGGUUAAAACUCAAAUGAAUUGACGGGGGCCCGCACAAGCGGUGGAGCAUGUGGUUUAAUUCGAUGCAACGCGAAGAACCUUACCUGGUCUUGACAUCCACAGAACUUUCCAGAGAUGGAUUGGUGCCUUCGGGAACUGUGAGACAGGUGCUGCAUGGCUGUCGUCAGCUCGUGUUGUGAAAUGUUGGGUUAAGUCCCGCAACGAGCGCAACCCUUAUCCUUUGUUGCCAGCGGUCCGGCCGGGAACUCAAAGGAGACUGCCAGUGAUAAACUGGAGGAAGGUGGGGAUGACGUCAAGUCAUCAUGGCCCUUACGACCAGGGCUACACACGUGCUACAAUGGCGCAUACAAAGAGAAGCGACCUCGCGAGAGCAAGCGGACCUCAUAAAGUGCGUCGUAGUCCGGAUUGGAGUCUGCAACUCGACUCCACGAAGUCGGAAUCGCUAGUAAUCGUGGAUCAGAAUGCC